GAGGCUUUUUCUCAGUGAAGGGACUCUUUGGUGAUUAUUUUUAAUUGUAAACUGAGAGGGACAGUGUGUGUGCUUUUUGCUUUGGGUCACUUUCAUCCACUCGCCAGUUUCGAGGAAACAACUCUGUUCUCAGAGAGAUUCCCGUGGCAUCCCUGGUUUGACUUAUGUUUCCAUAUGGAGGGGCCUGCCCAGAAGGGACACGGAGCCAGGUGGCCACGUGGAGAAGCGCAGAGCCCACGUUGAUCCUUCGGGACUCAACUUGCCCAGGGCACGUCACCGCUGUCAUUUUUCUGCAAGACCAGCCUUGAUUUUGUGUUCUCCUUGCGUUCAUUUUUGAAACCUAAUUCUGGCAACCAGGUAAGUAAGUACAGACUGGUAACACUGUGGAGUUUUCACUGGAAAAAAUAUUAUAUUGUCCUCAGGGUUACAGCAGAAAUAGACCUCUGGUGAGCGUGUCUACAGUUGUCUAGUAUCUUAAUGGAUUUGUUUUUAUCUGAUGUGUUCCUCCAGGUACUUGAAAAGUAAUAGGGUCUUGUGCUCAGCCCACAAGCGUAGCUUGGUUGUGUGAAUGGUCGGUAACAGCAGUCACGGGAAGGUCGGUCUUACCCUCACGUGUUUUGCUCAGGCUCUUUGUAAGCACCUCUGGGUUUCCCACCAUGCACAGGGCCCUCCUGGCGAGGGCCGUGGAUGAUCUAUUAAUAUUGAAACCGACCAUCGUGAGCCCAGGGCCUGGAUGUCACAGGCAUUCCUAAGUACAGUAAGAGAGAGGACCGUCAGUGCAAAGGUGGCCUAAAUGUUUGCAGGCAGAGUGAGAGGUAGUCCUGAGCAUCUGAGUCUGGUCAUCAAAAGUGUUCUGUGUAGCUGGCAUCAAAGGCUGGCACAGCCGAGUCCCCGCGGGAGGCACAGGAGCAGGGCCUCCUCGGGCACACACAGGCCAAGUCCACGUUAGAAACUCGAGUUUGCGUAGUGGUCACUGCACAUGGACGUCUGGGUAGGAGUCUGAACUCACUGGACACCUGUUUGUAGCAGCUGUGAAUCGAGCAGAGGCUGGAUUGUGACACAGGACGGUGAUGGGAGAGCUUACCUGAGGGAAAGGAGCGCCCAUUUCAAUAAAGUCAGUCAUGAUGACCAUUGAAGAAAAACAUGCAGCUCUCUCACUUGCUUUGUUAUUGGAGACAAGUAAGUCGAGGGGAAACCAAGUGGGUUUAAAAUGGUCAGAAUAUAAACAAUACAGUAAUCUGAGAAUCACAUGUGGUAUUUAGUGUAAAGAAUCUGAACUAUGAAGGAACACACUUCAGUUCCACAUCAAGGGUCCCCUGGUGGCACAGUGGAUUAAGGAUCUUGUGUUGUUACUGUGGCGGCGUGGGUUCGAUCCCUGGCCCAGGAACUCCCACAUGCCAUGGGCAUGGCCAAAAAACCCUUCUGUAUCAAGGCUGAGAAAGUGGGCAGCGGUUCUGCAUCCUCCCUUCCUCCCUGUCUCAUGGUGUUAGAGUCACCUCGUGGCUCAAUGAUCAAACUCCUUUACAGAUUGAGUCAUGGCCGAGGCUUUGGUUUUCUCUGUAAUCUGCUAGGAGGACGUCGGCUGGGUGUGGGGAUGUGCUGGGGGCACCCCAGGUGCCCGUGACCGUUGUCCAGGGUGAGUCUGAGGAGGGGGUGCCCUUCCUCCCUGCAGCUCCUGGAUGUGGGUCAGUAUUAGGUCUUUGUCUCUUUAAACAGAUGCCUGAACCCCCUCACUCCUUCCACUGCCCUGCAGAUGCCCAGGCCUGGGAGGUCGGAGGUCAGAGGUUGGAGGUCUCGGCUCCACUGUCUCCAGCCAGGGCCACGGAUGCCCUUUGAUGUGAUUUCUGCUGGAGGGGGGUGUCACCGCCCCCCUGCCGUGAACCUGUAGGGAGGGGGCACCUUCCGGGUCAGGGAAUCUGUUUGGAGGAAUGGACGGUCUGAUGGCUCCUCUUUUCAUCAUGAAUCACUGUUAUGCUGACAUUUUUAUGGAACAUUUGUGAGAAAUGUCUGUGCAAUUUCUGGUGUUUAUUUUUCGAUUAUUUUAUUCUUUCUUGUAACAUUAAGUCCCCUGCUGACAUCGUAGAACAAUUUAAUCAGUUGGGGGAAAAAAAGUCUCUGCUAAAGAAAGUAUGGUUUCAUAGUUUUCCUUGAAUGCAUAAUGGUUUGAGGUAGCUUAUAAGUUUUGAAGAAAAAAAUAAAGACUCACAAAGGCCUCCUGACACACGUGACAAUACAGCACAACAACAAUGGCAGAUGUGCCAAAUUUGCAGAAAUAAAUCACUCUGAGGUUUUGGUUCUGUGAGAUUUAUUGUGAAGUGCUUGGCCAGGGAGAGAGAGUCCCAAGGAAGAGAGCCACCCUUGUACUGGUUGAGUCAGGUCCCCCAGUGCGGCUCGUCAGAUACACAGUCUUUUCAGAGAGCCCUGUCCUUGUGCCCCUUUGGCCUGUGGGCUCCAUGGGAGGAAAGGGAAGUGGAUGCAGCAUUGGCCACUGGGCUGUGGCUAUUGUGACUGUCAUGCUCCAGGGGCUUCUGUGGGUCUGAUGGAAUUAUGGGCUGUCCUGGCCCACGGCUGCCCAGCAGGAAGCUCAGCCUGCUUUUCUGAGACCGGAGUCAACCAUGACUCAGAUGGAACUAAUGCUUAAAACUGGGGUCCAGUGAAUUUUAAGCUCAUUGUGAUAAUCACGGAAAUGGACUCCCUACCCGUCGCUGGUUUGGGGGCUUCGCUGAGCAGCAGCUUCCUUCAGUGGACUCAUUACUCCUGAGAACCAGCCUUGUGGGUUAGAUGGGGGCCGAGGACACUGAGCAGGGCCCCAGGCUGACACAGAGGCCAGGGCUGGGAGACCUUCAGGAAAUCUAGGAAGAAGGAAAAGUGCUGCCCUGGGGGAAUGCGUAUGUGACUAAUCUCCACACUCGAUCGUUGCAUCUGCACACCUGGUGUCGGGGGCGGGCACGCGUGCAGCAAGACGCAGCUUGGGGGCCUGUGCCCGCCAACUGACCUGUUUGGGGGAUACAGAGAAGGAAAUCAAUGAAAGUCUCUCUUGUCUCCUGCGAAGGGAGGUUCCAUUCUCCUCUGAAGUCGUCAGAUAAUAGUAGAGUUCCCGCUGAAGUGCAGAAUCUAUUCGGAUUUCCCCUGAGAUCAGCCUGGCACCCUUCACCACCUGCCUCACGGCUCCAGGUCUGCGCAUCCAUGUUAAGUGUGAAGACCUUUCUGAGGACACUGAGGCUGAGCCCCACAGCCCUGUGCAGGCACAUCCUCACCUGCAGGAUUCUCACCUGCGCAGAGGUGAGACGUGGGCGCUGGUGCCUUUCCCAAGGGAGGCCCUGCACACCGCGUGGCUCCGGUUCCCUGAAUCUGUGCUCGUCCACCAAGAGUUCAGCUGGAAAGUCGAGGCCGCCGCUGUUUGUGAACAGAACUCCUGUCCUCCUGCAACAGGGAGCUCCGUGGAAUACCCUGACACAUUUGGCACCUGACACAUUCCUGCUGGUGAAAGUUGUCCUCACGUGUGUCUCCCUGCGCUGGGACCUGACCAACAGCAAACUGUCCUUGAGGACCGAGCCAGGGUCACAGUGGACACACCCACAUCCAGGGAGGCUUGUGGCCCAGUGUCAUUGCUCCUGGGAGCAAUGCUGGGCGCUCUGAGCGGGUGGCGCCCUCCUGUGCCUGCAGGUUGCCCUUGGCAGGCAGAGUGAAUCCAGUGAGGGCUGAUUGGCCACCCGUUGCUGUGGCAUGUGGGGUCAGGCUGUGUGUCCAGCCUUUGUCACCCAUGUGGGUCACACAUGUGGUUAUGUAGCCUCUGGAGUUCAGCAUCCUGGCCACCGAGAGGAUGGAGCAGUGUUGCCAGCGGGGGGACCAUGCAUCCGCCACCCCAUGUGCUGGUGCCCGUCAUCCCCUGGAGCUCCUGGCAGCCCUGUCAGGCCUGCACUCUGGGUCCUGGGUGUUCGAACAAGAGGCAGAAGGCAGGAUGGAUCAGGGUAGGUUCCCGCUGGAGGAGUGGUCUAAAGAGGUUCCUUCUGUUUCCCUGUGGAAGUGACUACGGCCUCUUUACUCACUCCUUUGUCCUUGUGGGGACAAGGACACACAGUCUGGGCUCUGCCUCUUGUUCCCCUCAAGCUCCAAGCCACACUCGCUCCAUGUGCUCACGAGGCGACAGAGCCAAAACCCAGGAACAUGGCCCUGCUGAUUUGGGCGGGACGGGUAUCUAUAGAGAUAGGCAGCAAGCAGCCCCCUGGAGACGCUGUGACUCAGCCACAGGCUCCGUUCAUGUGCAUCAGAUGGUGAUAGGACCAAGGGAUUCAGCACCCUGCAGAUCACGUUGAUAGUGUAUUAAUGUUUAAAUUAUCCUUUUCUGAGUAUAUAACAAUAGAGCCAAUAUCGUCUAAUCAUCUAGUUAUGGUUAUAAAUAUGCAUGUGACAUGUUAUUGUAUGCCAUGUAUACUAUUUUAUGUAUAAUGCAAGAUUCCAUGUGUAAUCACACAUACAGUUGCAAGUGCACACUUGGCCUCACAGUCCCUGUGGGCAGUCGGCCCUCAGUAGGUGAGGAAGGUCAUGGUUCCCGCAGUGCAGCCUUGCGCCCGCAGUCACACUUUACUUUGGACUCUUUGCCAAAGCCACCCAUUAACUUCUCCCUUCUCUCUUUGUUCCUGGAGUGUCUUUUUUUGCGCAGAGCAGGAGUUAUGUCAGUGAGCCUGGCUUGUAUUGGGUUCUCCGGAUAGAAACGUGGUCCCUGGCCACCAGCCUCCUUGCUGUACCCCCCACUUUGAAAGUGCAAACUGGAGUCUGCACAUGUGUCCCUCCACUCCAGACAGGGUGUCAGCGUGUCCACGUCAAGGAGGAGCAACAUUGUUUUGGUUCCUUGCUGUGUGGCUUUGUUGACUUGUGUCUUUAAUCUUUGCUAAUGUUUAUUUCCAUUAAAUUUCAACAUCAGAGGAAAUAGGAAAGCCCUAUGAAGCAGGAACAGAUGCUCUGUCACCUCCCAUCACGAAGGGUAUGAUUGCAGCCGGUGUGGCAGGACACAGCUGGCUCAUGUGGGUGGGGGCCGUGGACCGGGGUGCUGUGUGGUCACUGGGAGGGGAGCAAGGCCUUGUUUCAGUGGGGAGAGCUGUCACCCCAGAGGACCGCCUGAAAGUCAGGAUGGGUGAAUCUGAGGAAUAUGUUGGUUUGCUUGAACAUGCACCCACAGGCAGUGUCCCUGAGGUGACUGACAGAGUUGUGACUUUGAGGCAUUUGCUCUUGACCUUUGCAGGCCUAGGAACUGCUCAUUUCUCAUGAGAGGAAAACCUGCGCUUCCCGGAAGCAGUCGGUGACCGGGGAGGGUUUUCCUGAAGCUGCAGUGAACUCACU
Molecule: long non-coding RNA, 5340 nt
Filed under: Sus scrofa (pig)
Lineage: Eukaryota; Metazoa; Chordata; Mammalia; Artiodactyla; Suidae
Description: lncRNA (ENSSSCG00015071251.1)
Source: RNAcentral